GGAGAGAUGACCGAGGGGCCGAAGGUGCACGCUUGGAAAGCGUGUGUACUCAUAACGGGUACCGUGGGUUCGAAUCCCACUCUCUCCG
Molecule: transfer RNA, 88 nt
Filed under: Spirochaetaceae bacterium
Lineage: Bacteria; Pseudomonadati; Spirochaetota; Spirochaetia; Spirochaetales; Spirochaetaceae
Description: tRNA-Ser
Rfam family: tRNA
About the family: Transfer RNA (tRNA) molecules are approximately 80 nucleotides in length. Their secondary structure includes four short double-helical elements and three loops (D, anti-codon, and T loops). Further hydrogen bonds mediate the characteristic L-shaped molecular structure. tRNAs have two regions of fundamental functional importance: the anti-codon, which is responsible for specific mRNA codon recognition, and the 3' end, to which the tRNAs corresponding amino acid is attached (by aminoacyl-tRNA synthetases). tRNAs cope with the degeneracy of the genetic code in two manners: having more than one tRNA (with a specific anti-codon) for a particular amino acid; and 'wobble' base-pairing, i.e. permitting non-standard base-pairing at the 3rd anti-codon position.
Source: RNAcentral